UACGUAGGGUGCGAGCGUUAAUCGGAAUUACUGGGCGUAAAGCGUGCGCAGGCGGUUGGGUAAGUCUGAUGUGAAAGCCCCGGGCUCAACCUGGGAAUGGCAUUGGAAACUGGCUGGCUAGAGUGUGGCAGAGGGGGGUGGAAUUCCGCGUGUAGCAGUGAAAUGCGUAGAGAUGCGGAGGAACACCGAUGGCGAAGGCAGCCCCCUGGGCUGACACUGACGCUCAGGCACGAAAGCGUGGGGAGCAAACAGG
RNAcentral lists this ribosomal RNA (253 nucleotides) under uncultured bacterium. RNAcentral's name for it is "partial 16S ribosomal RNA". It matches the Rfam family "Bacterial small subunit ribosomal RNA", at positions 524 to 776 of the family's 1533-position model. The record is from RNAcentral.